This 668-nucleotide ribosomal RNA is filed under the name Mortierella alpina. RNAcentral describes it as "eukaryotic LSU rRNA". It matches the Rfam family "Eukaryotic large subunit ribosomal RNA", at positions 92 to 606 of the family's 3401-position model. Lineage: Eukaryota; Fungi; Mortierellomycota; Mortierellomycetes; Mortierellales; Mortierellaceae. The record is from RNAcentral.
AGUGAGCGCGGAUGAGCUCAAAUUUAAAAUCUGGCUGGUUUACUAGUCCGAAUUGUAGUUUAAAGAAGCGUUUUCGGUGGCAGCCUGGGUAUAAAUCCUUUGGAACAGGGUAUCAUAGAGGGUGAGAAUCCCGUCUUUGACUCAGUGCAUGCUACUAUGUGAUACGUUUUCAAAGAGUCGAGUUGUUUGGGAAUGCAGCUCAAAAUGGGUGGUAAAUUUCAUCUAAGGCUAAAUAUUGGCGAGAGACCGAUAGCGAACAAGUACCGUGAGGGAAAGAUGAAAAGAACUUUGAAAAGAGAGUUAAACAGUGCGUGAAAUUGUUGAAAGGGAAACGCUUGACACCAGUCAUGCGAGCGGAAAAUCAGUCUUUUGCAGUGGGGAGUUGUGUGGGUUCGGACCGCAAGGCCGGCCUGUGCUGCAUCUCUGCUGUAAGUGAUGCACUUUUUCGUUUGCAGGCCAACAUCAGUUUCUUCUGCUGGACAAAACUCUUGAGAAGGUAGCAGCUUUGGCUGUGUUAUAGCUCUUGAGCGAUACAGUGGAGGGGACUGAGGUUUUCGCAGCGCGUGCUCUCGGGCAAGGCUGAUUGGGUGCUAUGGGAUCGUUCGGUGUACAAUGCAUGCAUUUUGCGCCGUGUCUUUUCUAUACUCGCUCAACUCGGCUCUCCGCGC